This 364-nucleotide RNase P RNA is filed under the name Pseudomonadota bacterium. RNAcentral describes it as "RNase P RNA component class A". It matches the Rfam family "Bacterial RNase P class A". Rfam says of the family: Ribonuclease P (RNase P) is a ubiquitous endoribonuclease, found in archaea, bacteria and eukarya as well as chloroplasts and mitochondria. Its best characterised activity is the generation of mature 5'-ends of tRNAs by cleaving the 5'-leader elements of precursor-tRNAs. The record is from RNAcentral. Lineage: Bacteria; Pseudomonadati; Pseudomonadota. RNAcentral also lists the same sequence under 1 other name.
AGAGGUGGCCGGGCGGCCGCCCUCCGCAGGAGGAGGGAGGAAAGUCCGGGCUCCACAGGGCAGGGUGGUGGGUAACCCCCACCGGGGGCAACCCCAGGGAAAGUGCCACAGAAACAUACCGCCUCCAGCCGGCUCCGGCCGGCGGGGGGUAAGGGUGCAAAGGUGCGGUAAGAGCGCACCGGCGGCGUGGUGACACGUCGGCCAGGCAAACCCCACCCGGAGCAAGGCCAGGUAGGGGGAGAGGAGGUGGCCCGCUGAUCCCCGGGUAGGCCGCUUGAGGCCUCCGGCAACGGAGGUCCCAGAGAGAUGGCCGCCCCGCCGCGGCCGCGGCGGACAGAACCCGGCUUAUAGGCCGCCUCUCCUG